Olea europaea var. sylvestris is the source of this 873-nucleotide long non-coding RNA. RefSeq lists it as uncharacterized. The transcript has 3 exons. NCBI's taxonomy places the organism in Eukaryota, Viridiplantae, Streptophyta, Magnoliopsida, Lamiales, Oleaceae. The record is from RefSeq and is a predicted model, not a curated record.
UUGUUGAUUUUUCAUUUGCAGUUCAUUUUUGUUGCUGCUGCAAAUUACUGUGUUGAUAUCGCAACACAUAAACAUGGAUGCUGUGUUCUGCAACGAUGCAUCAGCCAUGCAACUGGUGAGCCCUGGGAGAACUUGGUAGCAGAAAUUUCUGCAAAUGGGCUUCUUCUUGCUCAAGAUGCAUUUGGAAAUUAUGUUGUUCAGUUUAUUUUAGAACUCAAGAUCCCUUCUGCCGAAUCCAAGUUGACAUCUCAGUUCGAGGGUAACUAUGUGCAUCUCUCGGCCCAAAAGUUUGGUAGCCAUGUUGUUGAAAAGUGUCUCGUGGUGUGUAACAAUGAAACUCGAUCAAAAAUCAUCUGCGAAUUGCUGUCUGCAACUUAUUUUGAGCAGUUGAUUCAGGAUCCGCAUGCAAAUUAUGUUGUUCAAACAGCUCUUCGGGUUUCUGAGGGUCCGGUUCACAAUUCGUUGGUUGAUGCAAUUGAGUCCCAUAAGGCGAUCUCACGCAAUAGUCCUUAUUCCAAGAGGAUUUUCUCUCACAAGCUCUUGAAAAAGUGAUGUAUGGUCUUUUGGGAUUAUGUUGUUGUUUAAUCCUCCAACUCCAUUCCAAAGAGCAGUGUGUGUAUGAACUGGUUCUUCGUCUCUUCAUGAGCAUCAAUCACCAGAGUUUUCGUCAAUUUUGGGCGAAAGUAAUUGAAUAGUUGGCCUUUUAUCCAUGCAAUGUGUACAAAUUAUGUUGUCAAUGUACCUUUCAGGGUGAGGGUGAUUUCCAUCUCCUUUGCCUGUUGGACUUUCUCGGUAUUACUAAUUUACUACAUAGUACGUGCAGACAGUAAACAUAAUUUUCUUUUGCAGCACUGUAUCAAUGUAACUUGGAUA